RNAcentral lists this ribosomal RNA (301 nucleotides) under uncultured bacterium. Its description in RNAcentral is "partial 16S ribosomal RNA". It matches the Rfam family "Bacterial small subunit ribosomal RNA", at positions 512 to 810 of the family's 1533-position model. The record is from RNAcentral.
CAGUCGCGGGAAAACGGAGGGGGCUAGCGUUGUUCGGAAUUACUGGGCGUAAAGCGCACGUAGGCUGCUUUGUAAGUUAGAGGUGAAAGCCUGGUGCUCAACACCAGAACUGCCUUUAAGACUGCAGAGCUAGAACGUCGGAGAGGUGAGUGGAAUUCCGAGUGUAGAGGUGAAAUUCGUAGAUAUUCGGAAGAACACCAGUGGCGAAGGCGGCUCACUGGACGACUGUUGACGCUGAGGUGCGAAAGCGUGGGGAGCAAACAGGAUUAGAUACCCGCGUAGUCCCUGUCUCUUAUACACA